AGAGUUUGAUCCUGGCUCAGAACGAACGCUGGCGGCAGGCCUAACACAUGCAAGUCGAGCGCGCCUUCGGGUGAGCGGCGGACGGGUUAGUAACGCGUGGGAACGUGCCCUUCUCUACGGAAUAGCCUCUGGAAACGGAGAGUAAUACCGUAUACGCCCUUUGGGGGAAAGAUUUAUCGGAGAAGGAUCGGCCCGCGUUAGAUUAGGUAGUUGGUGGGGUAACGGCCUACCAAGCCUACGAUCUAUAGCUGGUUUUAGAGGAUGAUCAGCAACACUGGGACUGAGACACGGCCCAGACUCCUACGGGAGGCAGCAGUGGGGAAUCUUAGACAAUGGGGGCAACCCUGAUCUAGCCAUGCCGCGUGAGUGAUGAAGGCCUUAGGGUCGUAAAGCUCUUUCGCCUGUGAUGAUAAUGACAGUAGCAGGUAAAGAAACCCCGGCUAACUCCGUGCCAGCAGCCGCGGUAAUACGGAGGGGGUUAGCGUUGUUCGGAAUUACUGGGCGUAAAGCGCGCGUAGGCGGAUUAGAAAGUUGGGGGUGAAAUCCCGGGGCUCAACCCCGGAACUGCCUCCAAAACUGCUAGUCUAGAGUUCGAGAGAGGUGAGUGGAAUUCCGAGUGUAGAGGUGAAAUUCGUAGAUAUUCGGAGGAACACCAGUGGCGAAGGCGGCUCACUGGCUCGAUACUGACGCUGAGGUGCGAAAGUGUGGGGAGCAAACAGGAUUAGAUACCCUGGUAGUCCACACCGUAAAC
Molecule: ribosomal RNA, 751 nt
Filed under: uncultured Phaeobacter sp.
Lineage: Bacteria; Pseudomonadati; Pseudomonadota; Alphaproteobacteria; Rhodobacterales; Roseobacteraceae
Description: bacterial SSU rRNA
Rfam family: Bacterial small subunit ribosomal RNA
Source: RNAcentral